This 289-nucleotide unclassified non-coding RNA is filed under the name Hevea brasiliensis (rubber tree). Lineage: Eukaryota; Viridiplantae; Streptophyta; Magnoliopsida; Malpighiales; Euphorbiaceae. The record is from RNAcentral.
UCUAGGUCAGGCAAAACAAGUGAACUGUCUACAAAGUUGAAGUCUAUAUCAAAAGGGGUGUCUUUGAAUUUGAACCCGUUAAUAGAGUUUGGAUGCUGAUCUGAAUCAGGGAAAACAAUAUCAUCCUCAAAUUUGAAAUCGGAGAUUCCAGAAAAACGCGAAUCUGUUCCCAUCUAUAAAACUCUAACCUAACCCUAACCCUAACCCUAACCAAUCAAAAUCCAAAAUAUGAACUGAUUGUUCUCCACUAACUCAACUAUGAGCUGUUUAAGUACAGAGAACAAAAGCU